UACGGAGGGGGCUAGCGUUGUUCGGAAUUACUGGGCGUAAAGCGCGCGUAGGCGGCUUUGUAAGUUAGAGGUGAAAGCCCAGGGCUCAACCCUGGAAUUGCCUUUAAGACUGCAUCGCUUGAACAUCGGAGAGGUAAGUGGAAUUCCGAGUGUAGAGGUGAAAUUCGUAGAUAUUCGGAAGAACACCAGUGGCGAAGGCGACUUGCUGGACGAUUGUUGACGCUGAGGUGCGAAAGCGUGGGGAGCAAACAGG
RNAcentral lists this ribosomal RNA (253 nucleotides) under uncultured bacterium. RNAcentral's name for it is "partial 16S ribosomal RNA". It matches the Rfam family "Bacterial small subunit ribosomal RNA", at positions 524 to 776 of the family's 1533-position model. The record is from RNAcentral.